CUCGAUUUUUGUCAAGAGAGAUCGAAAGCACAUCAGUGAUCAGUCUCACAGAGCUUUGAUCGAGAAGAGAAAUUGCAGGUAAGUAAGAAACAUCAACUACCUAAUCUUCAAUCAAAUUCACCCAUUAAGACAGUGUGUGCUCAUGAACGGCCAACAACAGUUCCCCUUGAAGUCAUUGCACAAAACAGAUAGAAAAGCUUGUGGCACGGAUUCCAGCUUAGAGGAAGCUAUAAGCUGAAAAAUGUUGCACCUGUAUCAUCAAGCCUUUGAUGCCAUAGACUCAGUAAAUAACUACUUUCUCAGUUUGCUUUUAGAUUGAUACUACACUAGAGUUUUCAAGGUAAUAUAACUCAUUGUACUCGUCUUUUGCAUUCGAUUAACCAUGGUCCAAAAGUUCA
This is a long non-coding RNA of Arabidopsis lyrata subsp. lyrata, 398 nucleotides long. RefSeq lists it as uncharacterized. The record is from RefSeq and is a predicted model, not a curated record. The transcript is spliced from 2 exons. Lineage: Eukaryota; Viridiplantae; Streptophyta; Magnoliopsida; Brassicales; Brassicaceae.